RNAcentral lists this small nucleolar RNA (133 nucleotides) under Dasypus novemcinctus (nine-banded armadillo). Its description in RNAcentral is "Small nucleolar RNA SNORA31 (ENSDNOG00000040036.1)". It matches the Rfam family "Small nucleolar RNA SNORA31". From Rfam's summary of the family: ACA31 (SNORA31) belongs to the H/ACA class of snoRNAs which are thought to guide the sites of modification of uridines to pseudouridines. ACA31 is predicted to guide the pseudouridylation of U3713 in 28S rRNA and U218 in 18S rRNA. The record is from RNAcentral. Lineage: Eukaryota; Metazoa; Chordata; Mammalia; Cingulata; Dasypodidae.
ACACAUUUCUGACAGACCUGGAGCUCUCAAUGUCUGCUGCUAAGGUCUCCACAAUAGAUGCAAGAGAAAGAAGGUCCCCGUGCUUUCUGUCUGUCUGUCUGUGGCAGCCAAGAUUGAAUGGGGGAAUACAGGA